Molecule: long non-coding RNA, 1364 nt
Organism: Syngnathoides biaculeatus (alligator pipefish)
Lineage: Eukaryota; Metazoa; Chordata; Actinopteri; Syngnathiformes; Syngnathidae
Exons: 4
Source: RefSeq, a predicted model, not a curated record
UGUUUAAAAGGAAGCAACAAGUGGGUGAGUAUGCAGGUUGUGAGAAGGGAAAGGGGGUUGGGUUAGUUAUUUUGGAAGUGACCUGACGGAAAUGUGUCCUACCCCACAGAGGAUGCAGAUAAUGUUGUGAAGUUGCACAAACACGCAAAUACUUGCAGUAUGUCCACAUAGGUUAUCAUUGUAUCCUGGAAGGAUUCUCAUUGUGAAAUUAUUUUUAUCAAUAUUAUUUAUUUCUUCAGCCAUCACCUUAUCAUGGUGGAGAGGUUUGUGUCUCCAGAGGAUCCUUCCCUGGAGCUUUUUGCCCAUGGCAUGUUCACCCAUGGGAACCAGGUCCUAGGUAGGGACCAGAGAGAGCACAGCCUCGAAAACCCCUAUCCUGUUGAAAAAUGCAGGAAGAAAAUUUCCCUUGCCUGGAUGCCGAUCACCAGUCCCCCCCUCAAGAGCCAGGCCUGUUGGCGGGGCUCAAAGGCAAGUGCCUGAUGGCUGGUCCUGCACCCAAGGCUCCCCAACCAGGCACAGCCCGAAAGAGUAACGUGGGUCCUCAUUCCCAUGGGCUCACCACCUAUGGGAGGAGCCAUAUGGGUCAGGGGCAGUCUGAGCUGGGUGGUGGCCGAAGGCAGGGACCUUAGCAAUCAAAUUCACGGCUACAGAAGCUGGCUCUCAGGAGGUGGAAUGUCACCAUCCUGGUACAAGCGGGCAAAAUGACUUUCUUCCGCAGGGUGUCCAGACUCUCCUUUAGAGAUAGAGUUAGAAUCUUGGUCAUCCGGGAGGGGCUCAGAGUAGAGCCACUGCCCCUCAACAUCAAGAGGAUCCAGAUGAGGAUAUUUUCUGGACGCCUCCGUGGUGAGGUGUUGUCGGCACAUCCCACCGAGAGGAGACCCCUGGGACGAUCGAGAGGCUGCUGAACGUCUCUGGUGGCCUGUGAAUACCACCCAUAUCCUUAUACUGUCCACAGAUGCCUCAGGAAAAUGAAGAGAUAAUGAAGGAGUUAAAGGUCUUCACGUGUGGUCUCACCUAAAAGAGAAGAAUUAAUAUCACAGCUGGAAGGUGGUGAACUCUGUGGCGGGGGCCAUUAGUUCUCUUCUAGGACCCUGGAGUAAUCAGUCCGUCAACAGAGGUGACGUCCAGCUAAUUUCCCACCCCUCUUCUCUCGCCCUGCCCGUUCCCAAGACAGAUGCUUUUGGUAAUAAGGCUAAUCAAUAGACUUCCUCACAGAGUCACCCCGACAAGCGACGUUAUCAUACAUUUGUCAUCAGGAAUGUCACUUUUCUUAUCAGCCAUCAACAUCUUGUUGAUGCGCUUUCUUCACACACAGACACGUGCGUAGACUAAAUACAUCGGUAUAUUCAAAAGACAACAUUUAA